Molecule: ribosomal RNA, 552 nt
Filed under: uncultured archaeon
Lineage: Archaea
Description: bacterial SSU rRNA
Rfam family: Archaeal small subunit ribosomal RNA
Source: RNAcentral
ACGGGGCGCAGCAGGCGCGAAAACUUCGCACUGCGCGAAAGCGCGACGAGGGAAUCCCAAGUGUAUGCACGUAAGUGUAUACUGUUUCUCUGUCUAAAAAGCAGAGAGAGUAAGAGCUGGGUAAGACGGGUGCCAGCCGCCGCGGUAAUACCUGCAGCUCGAGUGUGAUCGUUAUUAUUGGGCCUAAAACGUCCGUAGCCGGUCUUCUAAAUGCCUGGGUAAAUCGUAUGGCUUAACCAUACGAAUUCCGGGUAGACUGUUAGACUUGAGACCGGGAGAAGCUAGAGGUACUCCUGGGGUAGAGGUGAAAUUCUGUAAUCCUAGGGGGACCACCAGUGGCGAAGGCGUCUAGCUAGAACGGGUCUGACGGUAAGGGACGAAGCCCUGGGGCGCAAACGGGAUUAGAUACCCCGGUAGUCCAGGGUGUAAACGCUGCUUGCUUGAUGUUAGUCUGGCUCCGAGCCAGAUUAGUGUCGGAGAGAAGUUGUUAAGCAAGCUGCCUGGGAAGUACGGCCGCAAGACUGAAACUUAAAGGAAUUGGCGGGGGAGCAC